This 611-nucleotide ribosomal RNA is filed under the name Marisora roatanae. RNAcentral describes it as "partial 12S ribosomal RNA". It matches the Rfam family "Bacterial small subunit ribosomal RNA", at positions 487 to 1383 of the family's 1533-position model. The record is from RNAcentral. Lineage: Eukaryota; Metazoa; Chordata; Lepidosauria; Squamata; Scincidae.
AAAUGGUUGGUAAAUUUCGUGCCAGCCACCGCGGUUACACGAAAAACCAAAAAUAAUAGCCCCCGGCGUAAAAAGUGACCUGAGCCCAGCCAACAAAUUAAAGGAAAACCACCACAAAGUUGUAAAACACUUGCUCGUGGGACCCCCAACAACAAAAUGACUUUAAACCAAAGGCCCCUUACCCUCACGAAAGCUAAGAAACAAACUAGGAUUAGAUACCCUACUAUGCUUAGCCGUAAACAUAGGCAGUAUAAACACAAUACUGUCCGCCAGAGAACUACAAGUGAAAAACUAGAAACUCCAAGGACUUGGCGGUGCCCCAUAUCAACCUAGAGGAGCCUGUCCUAUAAUCGAUAAUCCACGCUGCACCUUACCAUUUCUAGCAAUUCAGCCUAUAUACCGCCGUCGGAAGCUUACCUCAUGAGAGAGACGAAGUAAGCAAAAUAGUUAAUAACUAAAACGUCAGGUCAAGGUGUAGCACAUGAAAUGGCAGAGAUGGGCUACAUUUUCUAUCCUAGAAAACACGAACAGCACAAUGAAACCUGUCCUCAAAGGCGGAUUUAGCAGUAAGGUAAAAAAGAAACUAUACCUUAAACCCGCUCUGGAGCGCG